Molecule: long non-coding RNA, 545 nt
Organism: Fukomys damarensis (Damara mole-rat)
Lineage: Eukaryota; Metazoa; Chordata; Mammalia; Rodentia; Bathyergidae
Exons: 3
Source: RefSeq, a predicted model, not a curated record
CUGCGGAUUGACGUGAGGCCACACAGGCAGUGCCACAGGCCGGGGAGAGAGGGACGCAGGCCUGAGAGUGAGGACCCAAGGAACCAUGCUCCUCCUCAGGGCCCUGCGCCCCUCCAGUCCCUGCCACCUCAGUCACCUUGGAGGUGCCGGAAGUCCUAACCUGUGCUCUCCGCCCAGCCCUGGCUCAGUUCUCUGCUCAGGAUACAGAGAGCUGGAAGCAACUCCCUGCUCAAACUUGUCUGGCCCAGAUCUCAGGCUCACAGCCACGCAGACGUGAAAGUGAGCAGCAGCCAGGAUUCCCACCAUCACAGCCUCAGAGCUGGACACUGACCACAGGACACAGGAGCUGCCCCAGGGAAGAGCCGAGCUGAGCCUCUGCCUGGGCGGCAGGGUUCUCGCCACACAGACGUCCGGACCUUGCUGACAAGCCCUCAGUGGAGUGUCCGAGAGGUAGCUGCCCUACGGGGGGAUACCAACUGCAGCGGUGCACACCUGUACUCAGCCUGGGAGGCUGAGGCAGGAGGAUCUCAAGUUCCAGCACAGCC